UACGAAGGGUGCAAACGUUGCUCGGAAUCAUUGGGCGUAAAGCGCACGUAGGCGGCUUGCCAAGUCGGACGUGAAAUCCCUCAGCUCAACUGAGGACGUGCAUCCGAAACUGGCGAGCUUGAGUACUGAAGAGGAUCGCGGAAUUCCCGGUGUAGAGGUGAAAUUCGUAGAUAUCAGGAGGAACACCGGUGGCGAAGGCGGUUCUCUGGGCAUGUCCUGACGCUGAGGAGCGAAAGUGUGGGGAGCGAACAGG
Molecule: ribosomal RNA, 253 nt
Filed under: uncultured bacterium
Lineage: Bacteria
Description: partial 16S ribosomal RNA
Rfam family: Bacterial small subunit ribosomal RNA
Source: RNAcentral